Molecule: ribosomal RNA, 480 nt
Filed under: Streptomyces sp.
Lineage: Bacteria; Bacillati; Actinomycetota; Actinomycetes; Kitasatosporales; Streptomycetaceae
Description: bacterial SSU rRNA
Rfam family: Bacterial small subunit ribosomal RNA
Source: RNAcentral
GAUUAGUGGCGAACGGGUGAGUAACACGUGGGCAAUCUGCCCUGCACUCUGGGACAAGCCCUGGAAACGGGGUCUAAUACCGGAUACUGAUCUGCUUGGGCAUCCAAGUGGUUCGAAAGCUCCGGCGGUGCAGGAUGAGCCCGCGGCCUAUCAGCUUGUUGGUGAGGUAGUGGCUCACCAAGGCGACGACGGGUAGCCGGCCUGAGAGGGCGACCGGCCACACUGGGACUGAGACACGGCCCAGACUCCUACGGGAGGCAGCAGUGGGGAAUAUUGCACAAUGGGCGAAAGCCUGAUGCAGCGACGCCGCGUGAGGGAUGACGGCCUUCGGGUUGUAAACCUCUUUCAGCAGGGAAGAAGCGAAAGUGACGGUACCUGCAGAAGAAGCGCCGGCUAACUACGUGCCAGCAGCCGCGGUAAUACGUAGGGCGCAAGCGUUGUCCGGAAUUAUUGGGCGUAAAGAGCUCGUAGGCGGCUUGU